Molecule: non-coding RNA, 21 nt
Filed under: Caenorhabditis elegans
Lineage: Eukaryota; Metazoa; Nematoda; Chromadorea; Rhabditida; Rhabditidae
Source: RNAcentral
UUUUAAAACGAUGUUUUCAGA